AGGCACUCUCCUUGCUCAGCAGCGAUGACUGGGAGCUGAAGGAGAAGGGACUCUUCAGCAUCAAACACCUGGCUGAGUCCCACUCAGAAGUCCUUCUUUGUAGACUUCGUGAGGUUUGCUUGGCACUUACCAACGAGGUGACCAACCUUCGCUCAAAGGUGUCUUACUCUGCAAUCGU
Molecule: long non-coding RNA, 178 nt
Organism: Corvus hawaiiensis (hawaiian crow)
Lineage: Eukaryota; Metazoa; Chordata; Aves; Passeriformes; Corvidae
Exons: 3
Source: RefSeq, a predicted model, not a curated record